This 253-nucleotide ribosomal RNA is filed under the name uncultured bacterium. RNAcentral's name for it is "partial 16S ribosomal RNA". It matches the Rfam family "Bacterial small subunit ribosomal RNA", at positions 524 to 776 of the family's 1533-position model. The record is from RNAcentral.
UACGAAGGGGGCUAGCGUUGCUCGGAAUCACUGGGCGUAAAGGGCGCGUAGGCGGCCACUCAAGUCAGAGGUGAAAGCCCAAGGCUCAACCUUGGAAUUGCCUUUGAUACUGUUUGGCUUGAGACCGGAAGAGGUAAGUGGAACUGCGAGUGUAGAGGUGAAAUUCGUAGAUAUUCGCAAGAACACCAGUGGCGAAGGCGGCUUACUGGUCCGGUUCUGACGCUGAGGCGCGAAAGCGUGGGGAGCAAACAGG